CCCUUAGAUGUUCUGGGCUGCACGCGUGCUACACUGAUAUUGCCAAUAUGUCAUUCUUAUCCGAAAUGGAUUGGGUAAUCAAGUAAUGAAAUUUCAUGCUUGGAAUCGGUAAUUGCAAUUUUAUCGUGAACGAGGAAUUCCUAGUAAGCACUAGUCAUCAGCUAAUGUUGAUUAUGUCCCUGCCCUUUGUACACACCGCCCGUCGCUACUACUGAUUGGGUGUUCAAGUGAGAUGCUUAGACCCUUGUUGCAUGGUUCAUUAUUGUGCUCCGAAAGGAAAAAGUUUCAAGUUUGAGUGUCUAGAGGAAGUAAAAGUCGUAACA
Molecule: ribosomal RNA, 323 nt
Filed under: uncultured eukaryote
Lineage: Eukaryota
Description: partial 18S ribosomal RNA
Rfam family: Eukaryotic small subunit ribosomal RNA
Source: RNAcentral